UCUUUCACACACGUCACAGGUUCUCGCCCGGCGCCCGCCGGGCGGGAUGAAAAGGGAACACCAGUGCCGCCCUGGCGCACGCCGAAGCGCUCAGUUCGUCUUGACGACUGCGCUUCCGUCCUCCGCCACGGCCAGUCUGGGGCUGUACCCGCAACUGUGAAUCGAACGACGGACGCGCGCUGGAGGCGGUUCGCCACUGCCCGACCGAGUGACCCCGACAACCAUCGUCGGGACGGCUCGUCGUGGCGGGAAGGGGAGCCGCCGAGCGCUUCCGUCGACCGUGGGCCGCCGAUCGCUUGGACGGCCCGUGGGUUCGACGAGCCAGGAGACCUGCCUGUGUGCGUGACGAGGA
RNAcentral lists this non-coding RNA (352 nucleotides) under Salinibacter ruber. The record is from RNAcentral. Lineage: Bacteria; Pseudomonadati; Rhodothermota; Rhodothermia; Rhodothermales; Salinibacteraceae.